This is a long non-coding RNA of Oncorhynchus tshawytscha (Chinook salmon), 808 nucleotides long. NCBI's taxonomy places the organism in Eukaryota, Metazoa, Chordata, Actinopteri, Salmoniformes, Salmonidae. The record is from Ensembl.
CCAGGCUGUGUGAAGGCAAAGCUUCUGAAAGGCUGGUGUAUAGGACCAGCACGGGAGAGAUGAACCGAGGCAGCUGCUGUCUGUGUUGUGCUUUUUUCUCUGAGUUGUAAAAAUUCAACUGCCAACGCCCAUCCCUACAGGCUCUGGGACCUGAGAAAGAAGAGCAUCUUCAGACAGUAUUCUUUGCCAUGUUUCGGCAGUGAAGUCCUGGAAACCCCAAAUCCUUUGAGCAGCAGAUACUAUUAUGUCCAGUUUCUUAGACUUUUUGUUCCUUUGUGCAGUACAAUUAAUCACAUGCGCAAUAAACACCAUAACAUCCACCUUCUUCACAAUCAGCAUAUUAGUUUCCCUCAACUGUUGAGCAACACUGAAUCUCCACAGUCAGCGAAGCAUCCACAGCCAUAUCUUCAGCUCCACUCACUCCAACUAUUUCACGUGCCUCUGUGUAGGAGGCCUGCUGUAUAGCCCUGACCCUUGCCACUUCAUACUCCUUUACCCUAACCGGACACUCUGGGGAAUUGGGAACGUGGUUGCCAUCACAAUUACAACAUCGUACACCCUCAAACGUUCCCCAGUACCUGGAUAUUUUAGCCAACAAUCUGGUUGCCCCUGCCGAGGCUGAAACUUGGCCGCAAGUGGAUCUUCCAGCAAGAUAAUAACCCCAAGCACACAUCAAAAUCCACAAAUAAUUGUAUUUGAACUCAACUCCAGUUGUACAGGGCAGAAGUGGGCCGUGGAGUGGUGGUGCCAGCCAGUGGCACUCCAAGGCUCCUACAGAGUCCAUGCUGGAUAUCAGGGUAGGUUCCAG